GGGUCGUUAGCUCAGGGGGAGAGCACUACCUUGACACGGUAGGGGCCACUGGUUCAAAUCCAGUACGACCCA
RNAcentral lists this transfer RNA (72 nucleotides) under Dethiobacter alkaliphilus AHT 1. It matches the Rfam family "tRNA". From Rfam's summary of the family: Transfer RNA (tRNA) molecules are approximately 80 nucleotides in length. Their secondary structure includes four short double-helical elements and three loops (D, anti-codon, and T loops). The record is from Rfam by way of RNAcentral. Lineage: Bacteria; Bacillati; Bacillota; Dethiobacteria; Dethiobacterales; Dethiobacteraceae.